CACGGGGUUGCGAGCGUUGUCCGGAAUUACUAGGCGUAAAGGGCAGGCAGGCGGAUCCAUAAGUUUAUCGUUUAAGGCGUCGGCUUAACCGGCGUAGGGCGGUAGAUACUGUGAAUCUGGAAUGCGGUUGGGGAAGACAGAAUUCCUGGUGUAGCGGUGGAAUGCGCAGAGAUCAGGAGGAAUACCGAAGGCGAAGGCAGUCUUCCAAGCCGUUAUUGACGCUCAACUGCGAAGGUGUGGGUAUCAAACAGGAUUAGAUACCCGGGUAGUCCCUGAG
RNAcentral lists this ribosomal RNA (277 nucleotides) under uncultured prokaryote. Its description in RNAcentral is "partial 16S ribosomal RNA". It matches the Rfam family "Bacterial small subunit ribosomal RNA", at positions 524 to 801 of the family's 1533-position model. The record is from RNAcentral.